Molecule: ribosomal RNA, 870 nt
Filed under: uncultured bacterium
Lineage: Bacteria
Description: bacterial SSU rRNA
Rfam family: Bacterial small subunit ribosomal RNA
Source: RNAcentral
UGGGCGUAAGCGUGCGCAGGCGGUUUUGUAAGACAGGCGUGAAAUCCCCGGGCUUAACCUGGGAACUGCGCUUGUGACUGCAAGACUGGAGUGUAGCAGAGGGGGGUAGAAUUCCACGUGUGGCAGUGAAAUGCGUAGAGAUGUGGAGGAAUACCGAUGGCGAAGGCAGCCCCCUGGGUUAACACUGACGCUCAUGCACGAAAGCGUGGGGAGCAAACAGGAUUAGAUACCCUGGUAGUCCACGCCCUAAACGAUGUCAACUAGGUGUUGGGGAAGGAGACUUCUUUAGUACCGCAGCUAACGCGUGAAGUUGACCGCAUGGGGAGUACGGUCGCAAGAUUAAAACUCAAAGGAAUUGACGGGGACCCGCACAAGCGGUGGAUUAUGUGGAUUAAUUCGAUGCAACGCGAAAAACCUUACCUACCCUUGACAUGCCAGGAACCCUGCUGAGAGGCGGGGGUGCCCGAAGGGAGCCUGGACACAGGUGCUGCAUGGCUGUCGUCAGCUCGUGUCGUGAGAUGUUGGGUUAAGUCCCGCAACGAGCGCAACCCUUGCCAAUAAUUGCCAUCAUUCAGUUGGGCACUUUAUUGGGACUGCCGGUGAUAAACCGGAGGAAGGUGGGGAUGACGUCAAGUCCUCAUGGCCCUUAUGGGUAGGGCUUCACACGUAAUACAAUGGUCGGUACAGAGGGUUGCCAACCCGCGAGGGGGAGCCAAUCCCAGAAAGCCGAUCGUAGUCCGGAUUGUUCUCUGCAACUCGAGAGCAUGAAGUCGGAAUCGCUAGUAAUCGCGGAUCAGCAUGUCGCGGUGAAUACGUUCCCGGGUCUUGUACACACCGCCCGUCACACCAUGGGAGUGGAAUCUGCCAGAA